This 459-nucleotide ribosomal RNA is filed under the name uncultured bacterium. RNAcentral describes it as "partial 16S ribosomal RNA". It matches the Rfam family "Bacterial small subunit ribosomal RNA", at positions 338 to 795 of the family's 1533-position model. The record is from RNAcentral.
CCUACGGGAGGCAGCAGUGAGGAAUAUUGGUCAAUGGGCGGGAGCCUGAACCAGCCAAGCCGCGUGAGGGAAGAAGGUACAGCGUAUCGUAAACCUCUUUUGUCAGGGAACAAAGGCGGGGACUAGUCCCCGGAUGAGGGUAUCUGAAGAAAAAGCAUCGGCUAACUCCGUGCCAGCAGCCGCGGUAAUCGGGGGGAUGCGAGCGUUACCCGGUUUUAUUUGGUUUAAAGGGUGCGCAGGCGGCCUGUUAAGUCAGCGGUAAAAGGACGGGGAUAAACCACGGCGAGCCGUUGAAACUGGCGGGCUGGAGUUGGAGAGAAGUAGGCGGAAUGCGCGGUGUAGCGGUGAAAUGCUUAGAUAUCGCGCAGAACCCCGAUUGCGAAGGCAGCGUACCGGCUCCACACUGACGCUGAGGCACGAAAGCGUGGGUAUCGAACAGGAGUAGAUACCCCGGUAGUC